GGAGGUGGAUGGGGACCGGUGUCUUCCCCGGCCUUCAAAGCCGCGUGCAACCGUCAAAAGCCGGUUGGGUGGGUUCGACUCCCACGCACCUCCGCCA
This 97-nucleotide transfer RNA is filed under the name Calditrichota bacterium. Its description in RNAcentral is "Calditrichaeota bacterium (activated sludge metagenome) tRNA-Sec". It matches the Rfam family "Selenocysteine transfer RNA". RNAcentral also lists the same sequence under 1 other name. The record is from RNAcentral. Lineage: Bacteria; Pseudomonadati; Calditrichota.